GGCUAUAGCUCAGCUGGGAGAGCGCCUGCC
This 30-nucleotide transfer RNA is filed under the name uncultured Marinobacter sp. RNAcentral's name for it is "partial tRNA-Ala". Lineage: Bacteria; Pseudomonadati; Pseudomonadota; Gammaproteobacteria; Pseudomonadales; Marinobacteraceae. The record is from RNAcentral.